UACGUAGGGGGCAAGCGUUAUCCGGAUUUACUGGGUGUAAAGGGAGCGUAGACGGUUAUGUAAGUCUGGAGUGAAAGCCCGGGGCCCAACCCCGGGACUGCUUUGGAAACUGUGUAACUGGAGUACAGGAGGGGCAGGCGGAAUUCCUGGUGUAGCGGUGAAAUGCGUAGAUAUCAGGAGGAACACCGGCGGCGAAGGCGGCCUGCUGGACUGAAACUGACGUUGAGGCUCGAAAGCGUGGGGAGCAAGCAGG
RNAcentral lists this ribosomal RNA (253 nucleotides) under uncultured bacterium. RNAcentral's name for it is "partial 16S ribosomal RNA". It matches the Rfam family "Bacterial small subunit ribosomal RNA", at positions 524 to 776 of the family's 1533-position model. The record is from RNAcentral.